AUGUACAUUCCUACAAUGUUAAUGCACUGUAUGCCAUUAGAACUCCCUAUUUAAGAAUGGUUGGACUAGAGUAGUACUAGGAUGAGUGACCUCAUGGGAAUUCCUAGUAUUUUACAUA
Picea glauca (white spruce) is the source of this 118-nucleotide non-coding RNA. The record is from Rfam. Lineage: Eukaryota; Viridiplantae; Streptophyta; Pinopsida; Pinales; Pinaceae.